This 462-nucleotide ribosomal RNA is filed under the name uncultured bacterium. RNAcentral describes it as "partial 16S ribosomal RNA". It matches the Rfam family "Bacterial small subunit ribosomal RNA", at positions 338 to 795 of the family's 1533-position model. The record is from RNAcentral.
CCUACGGGAGGCAGCAGUGAGGAAUAUUGGUCAAUGGACGCAAGUCUGAACCAGCCAAGUAGCGUGCAGGAUGACGGCCCUCCGGGUUGUAAACUGCUUUUAUUUGGGAAUAAAAGGGGGCUCGUGAGCCCCGUAGUGUAUGUACCAUCAGAAAAAGUAGCGGCUAUUUCCGUGCCAGCAGCCGCGGUAAUGAGGAAGGUCCGGGCGUUAUCCGGUUUUAUUGGGUUUAAGGGGGGCGUAGGCCGGCUUUUAAGUCAGCUGUGAAAGUCCGCGGCUCAACCGUGGAAUUGCAGUUGAAACUGGAGGCCUUGAGUGCACACAGGGAUGCCGGAAUUCAUGGUGUAGCGGUGAAAUGCUUAGAUAUCAUGAAGAACUCCGAUCGCGAAGGCAGGUGACCGGGGUGCAACUGACGCUGAGGCUCGAAAGUGCGGGUAUCAAACAGGAUUAGAUACCCUUGUAGUC